GACGAACGCUGGCGGCGUGCUUAACACAUGCAAGUCGUACGAUGAAGCGGUGCUUGCACCGUGGAUUAGUGGCGAACGGGUGAGUAAUACGUGAGUGACCUACCUUUGACUCUGGGAUAAGCCUGGGAAACUGGGUCUAAUACCGGAUACGACCAAUCUCUGCAUGGGGUGUUGGUGGAAAGCGUUAUGGAGUGGUUUUAGAUGGGCUCACGGCCUAUCAGCUUGUUGGUGAGGUAAUGGCUUACCAAGGCGACGACGGGUAGCCGGCCUGAGAGGGUGACCGGCCACACUGGGACUGAGACACGGCCCAGACUCCUACGGGAGGCAGCAGUGGGGAAUAUUGCACAAUGGGCGCAAGCCUGAUGCAGCGACGCCGCGUGAGGGAUGACGGCCUUCGGGUUGUAAACCUCUGUUAGCAUCGAAGAAGCGAAAGUGACGGUAGGUGCAGAGAAAGCGCCGGCUAACUACGUG
RNAcentral lists this ribosomal RNA (471 nucleotides) under uncultured bacterium. Its description in RNAcentral is "partial 16S ribosomal RNA". It matches the Rfam family "Bacterial small subunit ribosomal RNA", at positions 28 to 507 of the family's 1533-position model. The record is from RNAcentral.